GAUGAACGCUGGCGGCGUGCCUAAUACAUGCAAGUCGAGCGAACAGAUGAGGAGCUUGCUCCUCUGACGUUAGCGGCGGACGGGUGAGUAACACGUGGAUAACCUACCUAUAAGACUGGGAUAACUUCGGGAAACCGAAGCUAAUACCGGAUAAUAUAUUGAACCGCAUGGUUCAAUAGUGAAAGACGGUUUUGCUGUCACUUAUAGAUGGAUCCGCGCCGCAUUAGCUAGUUGGUAGGGUAACGGCUUACCAAGGCGACGAUGCGUAGCCGACCUGAGAGGGUGAUCGGCCACACUGGAACUGAGACACGGUCCAGACUCCUACGGGAGGCAGCAGUAGGGAAUCUUCCGCAAUGGGCGAAAGCCUGACGGAGCAACGCCGCGUGAGUGAUGAAGGUCUUCGGAUCGUAAAACUCUGUUAUUAGGGAAGAACAAAUGUGUAAGUAACUAUGCACGUCUUGACGGUACCUAAUCAGAAAGCCACGGCUAACUACGUG
RNAcentral lists this ribosomal RNA (497 nucleotides) under uncultured bacterium. RNAcentral's name for it is "partial 16S ribosomal RNA". It matches the Rfam family "Bacterial small subunit ribosomal RNA", at positions 28 to 507 of the family's 1533-position model. The record is from RNAcentral.